Molecule: unclassified non-coding RNA, 329 nt
Filed under: soil metagenome
Description: partial contains 5.8S ribosomal RNA, internal transcribed spacer 2, and large subunit ribosomal RNA
Rfam family: 5.8S ribosomal RNA (bases 1-120)
Source: RNAcentral
GAUGAAGAACGCAGUGAAAUGCGAUAAGUAGUGUGAAUUGCAGAAUUCAGUGAAUCAUCGAAUCUUUGAACGCACAUUGCGCCCCUUGGUAUCCCGAGGGGCAUGCCUGUUCGAGCGUCAUUUCACCACUCAAGCCUGGCUUGGUGUUGGGCGACGUCCUCUUUGGGGACGCGCCUCGAAACGCUCGGCGGCGUGGCACCGGCUUUAAGCGUAGCAGAAUCUUUCGCUUUGGAAGUCGGGGCCCCGUCUGCCGGAAGACCUACUCGCAAGGUUGACCUCGGAUCAGGCAGGGAUACCCGCUGAACUUAAGCAUAUCAAUAAGCGGAGGA